Molecule: long non-coding RNA, 2741 nt
Organism: Dreissena polymorpha
Lineage: Eukaryota; Metazoa; Mollusca; Bivalvia; Myida; Dreissenidae
Exons: 3
Source: RefSeq, a predicted model, not a curated record
GCAGCGCCGUGAACAUUUCAAACGGUGCUUUCAUUUAAAACAACAACGCAUUCUUUAGUAAUUCAAAUAUUAACUAUAUAUGGAUAUUGUGCUAACACUUUUAUCAAUAAACGAUUUAAUGAAUAACAGUUGUAGUGAAUAAACCGUUGCAAAAACAAUUUGUAUAUAUUUGGACAUUAUCGCACGUGGAUAUUAAUAUAGUUUAGAUUAUAUUUCCAUAGAUGCAACUACCGGUAUACUGCUAAAACACGUUAUUAAACUUUUUGUGCAUACAUGGUGUUUGCAAAGUUUAUAAGUUCAACAUUCAUGGAGAAAAACGAUGAUCGAUCUACUUAUUAUUUUGUUAACUGAAUCGUGUUCUUAUUAUAUCUGCAAGAAACAAUGAAGGUUUAGAGUUAGGUCCGGAGCCUCAGUUAAAAAAGACGGGAGUUGAAAAGCGAAGCCUUUUGCAUUUAUCAUGUAUCUCGUCGUGGAAAGUAUGCAGGGAGGUGCGAGAUGAACAUGGUAUUGCAAACGAAACACGCACUGACGUCUGAAGUAGCGAUGUGUUGUGAUGGAAAAAUGUUAAUUAAUUUUUAGUUAAAGUUUGGAACAUUUCGAUGUUAAAAGACCACACAGUGUAAUUAUUUUAGUUUAAAUGAACAUAUUUAUACAAUUUAUGUUUGGAUAGUGUACACCUUAAGUUAUUAGUUUCCUCGUUUGUGAGCCAUGAUUUUAUGCGCAAUAAUAUGUUUAGUUGUAUUAAAACAUAUAAUCAAGUCAAAGCCAUCUAUUAAACAUUAAACGAAUAUUUGUGCACAUUGACGUUGAAUUAUAAAUAGUAGAUUGCGCUAGGAAAGAGACGAUGGGACAGACAAUUGUUGUGGUGUUGACUCUAGGAGUGAUUGGGCUGAUUAUUUUCUUGGGCUUACUGAUACUUGUCUUCAUGCGAUGCCAAAGGUCUACAAGACGCAACGCUGCAAAACAUAUAAAACGGAGGACAGUUAUAGCACAAUGCUAUUGUUUUAAAUCAAAUAGAUACCAUCAGGUGGAAAUGAACGUGUUGGAAGAUGAAAUGAUGCAAAUAAAUGGGGAGACUCUGUCCAGUAAUUCUCCAAAAAAUCCCGAUGACGUGGAUCGAGUGUCGACAUUGGACAGCAAUUACAUCGCACAAAGUAUGAACGGAAUCGACCACAUUUAAGUCCAAGAAAGUGUUGUUGUGUAAACUUUGUAACACUCUGAAAGCAGAGAAAAGCUAACAAGAAAUAUCUUUAAAAAAGAUAUACGGCGUUGAUUGUGGUUGGAGUUUAUGAAAGGUAAAGAGUUCAAUGAAUGAGAUCAAUAAUAGCGAAUGUCUUUCUAUGCAGUUCUUAGCUGCAUCACACGCAGUACGGGAUGCUACGCGGAGUUUUUGCGGCUUAUUUUUAAUUAUAACAUAUUGCUGGUCAUAAACCUAUAGAUACAAAACAGAAAACCAAAAGAAUACUGGAAGUGAAAUUAAAACAUAUGAGUCAACCGGCCACACGCGAAGUAUCCGUACAUAUUUUAAAUAUUUAUACGCGCGUUCUUCGAACAAACCAGUUUUAGUGGUUUGUCGGGCAUUGCUAUUUGAUUCAAGUGUUAACAGUAUCGAGAAUCAUCGCGCUCAUGCUUAAUACAUUAGUCAAUAUGGUGGAAUAAUUCUUGUUGAAUUAAUUAAAAAUAAUAUUUAUCAUGGUAUUGUUGAAAACACAUUAAGAAUCUAUUAUUGUAAUACCAUAAUUAUAUCGCUGGAUAUCUUUAUUUAACAUCUUUCUGGUCUAAAGAAAAUUGCAGUUCACAUAGUUCACGCUAUAGCGUCUUUAUUAUAUAACGGUUAUUUUACUGGCCGCGAACUCCGGUCAGAACAUAAUGUAUUCGUGAAGAACCAGCGAUGACCUGUAUAUAAACUCUGACAUUCACACACACUAACCGCGAACUGACGAAAGUGUAGAAUCUACGCACAGAUUGUAUUGUGUAAAACUGUUCUAUCUACCAUGCCUUUUCAUAAGAGAUAAAAUUGUUUCAUGCUGAACACGCAGUAAAACAGUGUUAGAAAGACGCGGCCAUGUUUCCAAUGUUCUGGUAGUAUUCUCAAAUCAGCCAAUGGACUAAAUGAAGUGUAUUCAUUCGUGGGUAGCCGCGGGCAUUUUUAUGAAUGUAACCUAAAGGUCACCUAAGGUCAAAAGUGACGUUUAUCAGCUAUGCCGAAAAAAAACGCAAUAAAAAUGCACAGAAGCUAUAACGGUAACACUCUUUUUUCUCGCAUCACUAGAGCUAUCCCCAUUACGUUGUGGAGUAUAGCUUCACCAUCACAACGCCAUGCUGUAUGACCCAUUCGGGAUAUACUAGUACAUACAAAGUGAACAAAAUUAUCAAAGAAAUUAAUAAGAACUAUUUGUGACUGUGGACAUUUGGACCGUAUGCUUGGACAUCUGUUGUCUUGUUUUGUUCGAACGACGUCUGCUCCUCUUUCUUUUUAAAGAACAAAGAGGAGGGUGAUUAACAGUUGAAUAAAGAUAUUUGUCAAAAUCUUACACCAUAAAUCGAGUGUUUGGACGGUAGUUUGUUAAACCGUUGCGGCGAGGAAACCACAUGGACAUGAUUUUGUGGGAUAAUCCUAUUGUUUCUCGGCGCAAUGAGCUAAUGCAUUGCCAGACAAUUUAGAGUUAUAGAGAAUCAUGUUAAGUGAAUAAUUAAUAUAUUUACUUGUUUGAAGCGUGUAUUGUGGGUUGUCCAAUUUA